RNAcentral lists this unclassified non-coding RNA (403 nucleotides) under soil metagenome. RNAcentral describes it as "partial contains 5.8S ribosomal RNA, internal transcribed spacer 2, and large subunit ribosomal RNA". The stretch from base 1 to 122 matches the Rfam family "5.8S ribosomal RNA", at positions 35 to 154 of the family's 154-position model. The record is from RNAcentral.
GAUGAAGAACGUAGCAAAAUGCGAUACUUGGUGUGAAUUGCAGAAUCCCGUGAACCAUCGAGUUUUUGAACGCAAGUUGCGCCCGAAGCCUUUUGGCCGAGGGCACGUCUGCCUGGGCGUCACGCAUCGCGUCGCCCCCCACAAAUUCUCCGUCAGGGGAGCUUGUGUUUCGGGGGCGGAUACUGGUCCCGUGCUCAUGGCGCGGUUGGCCGAAAUAGGAGUCCCUUCGAUGGACGCACGAACUAGUGGUGGUCGUAAAAACCCUCGUCUUUUGUUUCGUGCCGUUAGUCGCGAGGGAAGCUCUUCAAAAACCCCAGCGCGUCGUCUCUUGACGGCGCUUCGACCGCGACCCCAGGUCAGGCGGGACUACCCGCUGAGUUUAAGCAUAUCAAUAAGCGGAGGA